GAAAGUGCCAUUCGUGAGGGCCAGCCUUCUACCAGGUAUCAGGACCUGACAAGAACCAACACUGUAACUGCUCACCUACUUACAGUGCUGAUGUUGAGCUCAGCACCUUACGUGGUGCACAGAUCUGCUCUGUGCUCUUUGCUGGCACAGGCGUGGCUUUCGAGCCUUUCACUCCACAGCUCCCUGACUGGGGAGCUUCUGUUCCCGCCCACAUGUGUUCACCACCACCAGUUUCGAGAGCUGUUGGUCAGAUCUGUUUCUUUCAGCCCAGGUGGGAUGAAUUUCCCUAGAUCAUUGACGUUAUCUUCCUAGUUGCUUCUGAAAAUAAAUGAUGUUAUAAUUGUAAGUUCCAUAUACAGUACUGCAGACUUCUUUGUGGAGGGUUGGAAAUAAGCAGUAUGUUUUGUUUUUCUAAGGGCCAGGGCUCUAAGGAAAAUACAAUCUAUAAAGACAAUUAAGACUCAGUGACACCCUAAUUGCAUCCCUUGAGAAUGAGCGCUAAGAAUACAUAUACACAGUAUUGUGCUGUGUAAAGAUACCCAAGCUACCAAGGUCUCAAAAUCAAUACAGCUGCAUUAGUGAGGCACAGAGCCCUGGAUAAUUCAUCCUGCAAAGGAAAAAUGCACUGACGGCCGUACUGCUUUUGAUAUUACUAGUUCAGUCAGAACUAUUUCAGGAACCUGUCCAACACUGAGCUGUAUUUUCAAGUGGCUCAGCAUUUUUUGUUUGUUUGGAGCCUUUUUUAAGCCAGUUCUUGUAGGAAAUAUCAUUACAGACACAACCAGGACUUACUUCGUAUAGCUAAACAGGAUGCUUGGGGGGGGGAACAGACGAGGCUGUUACCUUUUGUAUGGCCCAUUACUUGGAAGAAAUCACAGUAUAUCUUUGUUGGUUGUAUGAGACACGUGUAGAACACAGACUACCAGGAUUCUUGAUGUUGUAAGCUAACAGUUCAGUGCUUGGAGACACUUUUGCAAAUGUAAAGAAUAUCCACUCUUUUAUGAGUCAGAAUUCAGUCUCUGCUACUGGAAAUCAGGGGUGUACUCCUAGUUGUAACUGAAGAGUCUGUAAUGGGAAUCUUAUGAUUUAGAGCAACUUAGCACACCGGAAAUGCAGUGAGCAAAGUGAACCUUUGUAUAUGGUAACUAACCACCAUCUCUGUUAAAUCCCCCUCUUGGAAAAGUCUGCAAAGAUGGAUCAUUAACAGGAACUGUGAAAAACACAAGCGUAUUUGUCAGCAGACAGAAGAAUAAUUUUACUUACGAGUGCUCCUAGAAAGAAUAAGGAACCAUGUUAACAUACAGUUAUAAAAGGAUUAGUAUUUGGAGAUUUUAAGUGCUGUAGUCUAGAUUUUCUUCCUGAAUAGGAAAAUAAUAAGACUUGUUAAACUGCAGCAAACAACUAAUUUCUUACAAGUUAGUGAUGUGACUCUGAAUUUGUUCAGUAAUGUUUCAAAAGAGUGUGUAUUCACUUGAAAAGGUCCAUCUUUUGAAACAGCACCCUUCACUGUAAAAUAUAUUCUAGUUUUUGCAGAAAGGUUUUAACAAACACACAGUUUCUUCUGAAGGAGGAGAGUGAUGUAUGAGUAAGCAGUGUUCCAGUGGCCUUAGCAAAGAGCCUGCCAGUGUUGGGUGAGUCAGAUUCAGGUCUCGAUCUCCCAACUUUCACAUCACAGUUAAAACCUUAACCACUAAGCUACUGCCUGAUACACAAUUAGCAUCUUGCCUGUUCUUCUCUUUUUAUACUUUGUAUAAACAAACACUAAUUUUAGCAGAGACUUGAACUUGGGACUUCCAAUCUUUACCUUAGCUCAGCAGCUGUUCUGUGUGAGCUUCUCUUUCUUAUUUCAU
Molecule: long non-coding RNA, 1850 nt
Organism: Neopsephotus bourkii (Bourke's parrot)
Lineage: Eukaryota; Metazoa; Chordata; Aves; Psittaciformes; Psittacidae
Exons: 3
Source: RefSeq, a predicted model, not a curated record